UGUCUGGUGGCUUGCAGGGUGUGGGGAAAAUCUGGGUGUGUUGGUGAGAAAGUGACAAGGAUUGCCUGUGCUGUCGUGAAGGCAUCUUUGUUUAUGCGGCCACUCUUGUGUGAGGGUGUCUGGGUGUGAUUAAGGAUACAGCAGCAUACAUGAAACCCCAUGCAGUGUGUGAGGGAGUCAGACAGCGGCCCCCUGUCUCUCAGGUUAAGACAAAAAUAACAGCCAAGGCAACUAUGGGCAUUGGACUAAGUGCUGAAUAUAAAUCAACUCAUUUCAUCCUCCCAACAGCCCUUGGGGCGGGGCCCUGUUAUCCCCAUUUGACAGGAAAGUAAACUGAAGCACUGACAGGUGAAGAAACUUGCAGGAGCGGCAGAGCUGGGAUUUGAGCCCUGCUAGCUGGUUUCACAGUCCUAACUACGCAGCAACCUCAGAUCCUCCCUCUCACCAAAGCCAUGGGAAGUCCCCAACCAACCUGGAGACACUGAAUCAGCAGCCCUCAGAGGCAAGGCCAUGUGGACCCAGCCCGUCUGCCCUCCUUAAAAGGGAGAAGAGACAUUCUUGAGGCACAGGGAGCAAAAGCCCAAA
Long non-coding RNA from Bubalus bubalis (water buffalo), 585 nucleotides. RefSeq lists it as uncharacterized. The transcript is spliced from 2 exons. NCBI's taxonomy places the organism in Eukaryota, Metazoa, Chordata, Mammalia, Artiodactyla, Bovidae. The record is from RefSeq and is a predicted model, not a curated record.